RNAcentral lists this long non-coding RNA (406 nucleotides) under Citrus x clementina. Its description in RNAcentral is "Citrus clementina (C. clementina) long non-coding RNA (CCLE_LNC003581)". The record is from RNAcentral. Lineage: Eukaryota; Viridiplantae; Streptophyta; Magnoliopsida; Sapindales; Rutaceae.
CAAGACAGGCUGGAAAGACCUUCUAAAAAGUUACAUUUGGGAAAGCAAAAAGAUCAUGUUUCAUCAGCAAUGGCUAACUCAAGUACGACAUUAGCACUAAAAAAGGCUGAAAUGCCAAUGCCUACAUCUGGACGGGGAAGUAAGAAACCUUCUCAACUAUGUUUAACUGACAUAAGAAGGGGAUCUAGUUCUCAGAUUCCUAAUGCACUAAAAGAGGCUGAAAUCCCAAUGCCUACAUCUGGACAGGGAAGUAAGAAACCUUCUCAACUAUGUUUAACUGACAUAAGAAGGGGAUCUAGUUCUCAGAUUCCUAAUGCACAAGUUAGCUGCAAAAGGAAGGACCUGACUUCAUCUCAUUUGGCCUUUCGCGGAAGAAAAUCAACUCAUAAUGGAGAGUCACAGGCAG